AUUGAACGCUAGCGGCAUGCUUUACACAUGCAAGUCGAACGGCAGCGCGGGCUUCGGCCGGGCGGCGAGUGGCGAACGGGGGAGUAAUGCAUCUGAACGUGCCCAGUAGUGGGGGAGAGCCCGGCGAAAGCCGGAUUAAUACCGCAGACGACCUGAGGGUGAAAGCGGGGGACCGAAAGGCCUCGCGCGAGGGGGGCGGCCGAUGUCGGAUUGGCUAGUUGGUGGGGUAAAGGGUUACCAAGGCGACGAUCCGUAGCUGGUCUGAGAGGAGGAGCAGCCACACUGGGACUGAGACAGGGCCCAGACUCCUGAGGGAGGCAGCAGUGGGGAAUUUUGGACAAUGGGGGCAACCAUGAUACAGCCAUGGCGAGCGCGGGAAGACGGCCUUCGGGUUGUAAACCGGUUUUGUUCGGGAAGAAAUCCUCUGGGCUAAUACCACGGGGGGAUGACGGUACCGGAAGAAUAAGCACCGGCUAACUACGUG
This 484-nucleotide ribosomal RNA is filed under the name uncultured bacterium. RNAcentral's name for it is "partial 16S ribosomal RNA". It matches the Rfam family "Bacterial small subunit ribosomal RNA", at positions 29 to 507 of the family's 1533-position model. The record is from RNAcentral.